Molecule: ribosomal RNA, 308 nt
Filed under: uncultured Janibacter sp.
Lineage: Bacteria; Bacillati; Actinomycetota; Actinomycetes; Micrococcales; Intrasporangiaceae
Description: bacterial SSU rRNA
Rfam family: Bacterial small subunit ribosomal RNA
Source: RNAcentral
GACGAACGCUGGCGGCGUGCUUAACACAUGCAAGUCGAACGGUGAAGCUCCAGCUUGCUGGAGUGGAUCAGUGGCGAACGGGUGAGUAACACGUGAGCAACCUGCCCCAAACUCUGGAAUAAGCGCUGGAAACGGCGUCUAAUACUGGAUACGAGACCAACCUGCAUGGGUAUGGUUUGGAAAGUUUUUCGGUUUGGGAUGGGCUCGCGGCCUAUCAGCUUGUUGGUGAGGUAAUGGCUCACCAAGGCGACGACGGGUAGCCGGCCUGAGAGGGCGACCGGCCACACUGGGACUGAGACACGGCCCAG